RNAcentral lists this transfer RNA (78 nucleotides) under Streptomyces aurantiogriseus. Its description in RNAcentral is "tRNA-His(gtg)". The record is from RNAcentral. Lineage: Bacteria; Bacillati; Actinomycetota; Actinomycetes; Kitasatosporales; Streptomycetaceae.
AGGCGGCGUGGCCAGGGAUGGGUUCGGGCGUCGUGGUCGCCCGGUGCGGUGCCCGUGUCCGAGUCACGGGUCGCGGUC